RNAcentral lists this ribosomal RNA (425 nucleotides) under uncultured bacterium. RNAcentral describes it as "partial 16S ribosomal RNA". It matches the Rfam family "Bacterial small subunit ribosomal RNA", at positions 354 to 796 of the family's 1533-position model. The record is from RNAcentral.
GUGGGGAAUAUUGGACAAUGGGCGAAAGCCUGAUCCAGCCAUGCCGCGCGAGUGAUGAAGGCCUUAGGGUUGUAAAGCUCUUUCAGUAGGGAAGAUAAUGACGGUACCUACAGAAGAAGCCCCGGCUAACUUCGUGCCAGCAGCCGCGGUAAUACGAAGGGGGCUAGCGUUGUUCGGAUUUACUGGGCGUAAAGCGCACGUAGGCGGAUUGGUCAGUUAGAGGUGAAAUCCUGGAGCUCAACUCCAGAACUGCCUUUAAUACUGCCAGUCUAGAGUCCAGAAGAGGUGAGUGGAACUCCUAGUGUAGAGGUGGAAUUCGUAGAUAUUAGGAAGAACACCAGUGGCGAAGGCGGCUCACUGGUCUGGUACUGACGCUGAGGUGCGAAAGCGUGGGGAGCAAACAGGAUUAGAUACCCCGGUAGUCC